AUGGAAAAGAGCACCCUUAGCAUUAGGUUAAUGCGAAACACUCAAUUGCAAAACGCUGGUGGCGUUCACCAGCUUUUUUUUUUUUUUUUUUCUCAAACGCAGGCAGGAAUUUUGGCAAGACAGAGUGCAAGUUUCUUUCAGAGAAGAUUUAGGUCCCUUCUUCCUGCUAGCCUCUCUUGGUUACAUAUAGAUAGAUAUACGUAUAUAAAAAAAAUCCGAGCACUAAAGAUGAACGAUCUCCUUAAAACAUCCGGAAAAAACCCUCAUUUGAAUCAAGAGCCUGCAGGGGGGAGGAGGGACGGGCUUUCCUCGGAGGCCACCGGCCAGCGACAGCAGCUUCGCGGCACGGCGCGGCGGGAGCGGGGCAGGUGCGGCGGGGCAGAGCCGGCGCCCGCCCCGGCGGAGCCCCCGGGAAGCGGCCGCGGCGCCGCCGGACCCUCUCCCCUGCCUCCGCACCCUCCCCCGCCGCCACUUCCUCUCGCCCUCCUCGCCGCCCCCUCGCCCCUCACCUCGGGGCCGAUCCUCCCGCCCGGCCCGGCCCGGCCCGGCCCCUCCCGCCUCGCCUCGCCGCCCGCCCCGCCGCCUCUCACCCUCGCGGGCUUUCAGCAGCACCGUGUUGGCCACGAUGUUCUCGAUUUCCAUGGCGGGGGGCUCCGUCCCCUCAGGGCAGCCGGCGCCGAGGCCGCCGCGGGGCUGCUCCCACUGCCUCCUUCGCCCCCUCCUCGGGCCCCGCCACCGCCGAGGCUCCGCUCAUCCGGCCCCGCAGGACCUCAGCGCCGCGCUCGCCUCUUCCCCAUCACCCGCUGCUCGCCCCGGCACCGGCCUCCCCCUCCCCGAGGGCGGAGGCAAGCAGCAGGCAGCGACCGCCCACCCCGGCCAUGGCUCGACCGCCCUCCUCCGCCCACCGCAGCCGGCUCCGCCUCUGCGCGCCUGUCCCGCCCCCGGCGCUCCUCCCCUUGGGACUACAACUACCAGCAGGCCUCGCGCCACGGUAACGCCGCCAGCGGGCGGCCGCACGGGGAGCGCGCCGCGCUCUGCACGCUGGGAUAUGUAGUGCUUUGA
Molecule: long non-coding RNA, 1062 nt
Filed under: Apteryx haastii (Great spotted kiwi)
Lineage: Eukaryota; Metazoa; Chordata; Aves; Apterygiformes; Apterygidae
Description: lncRNA (ENSAHAG00000016051.1)
Source: RNAcentral